This 137-nucleotide microRNA precursor is filed under the name Malus domestica (apple). Its description in RNAcentral is "sRNA MD06G0010300". It matches the Rfam family "MIR168 microRNA precursor family". Lineage: Eukaryota; Viridiplantae; Streptophyta; Magnoliopsida; Rosales; Rosaceae. The record is from Rfam by way of RNAcentral.
UUCCUGGCGGUCUCUAAUUCGCUUGGUGCAGGUCGGGAACCGCUUCGCCCCGUUUGAGCCUAUAAACCAGCUGGCUCGAGGCUGCGGGGCGAAACGGAUCCCGCCUUGCAUCAACUGAAUCGGAGACCGCGGUGAAG